RNAcentral lists this long non-coding RNA (615 nucleotides) under Homo sapiens (human). RNAcentral describes it as "HSALNT0359472". Lineage: Eukaryota; Metazoa; Chordata; Mammalia; Primates; Hominidae. The record is from RNAcentral.
GAAGGCCUUUAUGAUGAUCCACUUCCACUUAAUGAAUAUGAAAAUCAAGAGGCUGGGCCUUGAAGCAUCUCAGCAAGCAUGACGUCCUCUACACCAUACCCUCUGGCCUGGGGUUCAGCAGUCUUCACCAUUCCCAUUCCCUGAACCCCUCAAAAUCAGGAAUACAGGUUACAGUGAAGACGGCUGUCUGUGAACCAGGGAGUGCACCCUCAGCAGACACCCAAUCUGCUGGCACCAUGCUCUUGGACUCCCCAGACUGCAGAACUGUAAGAAGCACAUUUUUGAUGUUGAGAAGCCACCUAGUCUAUGGUGUUCUGUUAAAGCAGCCCAAGCCCACCAAGACAGCAGCAGGAACAUUUCAACAUGAGCUGUCUAAACACACCUUCCUGCCUCAGAUGAAAACUUCAUCUAGGUUUUCCUGUUAUUGUAACCAUCACUCCUUGUUUUUAAAUGAAGAAAUAAAAAUUAUGUGAGAAACUGAAAUCUAUGUGAAGCAUUCUAGACUCAGCCAUGGGAAAUUAGGAAGCUCAGGAUCCCAGAGGCUCCAAAUCAUACUUCUUAUCAGCCAAAAGCCCCGCUCCUCCUGAACCCACCCACCCACCUAAAAACAAGCCA